Molecule: ribosomal RNA, 492 nt
Filed under: uncultured bacterium
Lineage: Bacteria
Description: partial 16S ribosomal RNA
Rfam family: Bacterial small subunit ribosomal RNA
Source: RNAcentral
AGUGAACGCUGGCGGUAGGCCUAACACAUGCAAGUCGGACGGCAGCACAGUAAGAGCUUGCUCUUACGGGUGGCGAGUGGCGGACGGGUGAGGAAUACAUCGGAAUCUACUUUUUCGUGGGGGAUAACGUAGGCAAACUUACGCUAAUACCGCAUACGACCUACGGGUGAAAGCAGGGGAUCUUCGGACCUUGCGCGAUCGAAUGAGCCGAUGUCGGAUUAGCUAGUUGGCGGGGUAAAGGCCCACCAAGGCGACGAUCCGUAGCUGGUCUGAGAGGAUGAUCAGCCACACUGGAACUGAGACACGGUCCAGACUCCUACGGGAGGCAGCAGUGGGGAAUAUUGGACAAUGGGCGCAAGCCUGAUCCAGCCAUACCGCGUGGGUGAAGAAGGCCUUCGGGUUGUAAAGCCCUUUUGUUGGGAAAGAAAAGCAGCAGGUUAAUACCCCGCUGUUCUGACGGUACCCAAAGAAUAAGCACCGGCUAACUUCGUG